GGGGCUGUAGCUCAGCUGGGAGAGCACUUGACUGGCAGUCAAGGGGUCAGGGGUUCAAGUCCCCUCAGCUCCACCA
This 76-nucleotide transfer RNA is filed under the name Deltaproteobacteria bacterium. RNAcentral's name for it is "tRNA-Ala". It matches the Rfam family "tRNA". Rfam says of the family: Transfer RNA (tRNA) molecules are approximately 80 nucleotides in length. Their secondary structure includes four short double-helical elements and three loops (D, anti-codon, and T loops). The record is from RNAcentral. RNAcentral also lists the same sequence under 3 other names. Lineage: Bacteria; Pseudomonadati; Myxococcota; Myxococcia.